UUGGAGGGCAAGUCUGGUGCCAGCAGCCGCGGUAAUUCCAGCUCCAAUAGCGUAUAUUAAAGUUGUUGCGGUUAAAAAGCUCGUAGUUGAAUUUCGGGAUCAGACUGUCGGUCGUGCCUCGGUACGCACUGGCAUUAUUGGUUCCUACCUUCUGAAGAACCGCGAUGUCAUUAAUUUGGUGUCGCGGGGAAUCAGGACUGUUACUUUGAAAAAAUUAGAGUGUUUAAAGCAGGCUUACGCUUGAAUACAUUAGCAUGGAAUAAUGAAAUAGG
This 272-nucleotide ribosomal RNA is filed under the name uncultured Glomus. Its description in RNAcentral is "partial 18S ribosomal RNA". It matches the Rfam family "Eukaryotic small subunit ribosomal RNA", at positions 548 to 826 of the family's 1831-position model. The record is from RNAcentral. Lineage: Eukaryota; Fungi; Glomeromycota; Glomeromycetes; Glomerales; Glomeraceae.